Long non-coding RNA from Paramacrobiotus metropolitanus, 536 nucleotides. RefSeq lists it as uncharacterized. The transcript is spliced from 3 exons. The record is from RefSeq and is a predicted model, not a curated record. NCBI's taxonomy places the organism in Eukaryota, Metazoa, Tardigrada, Eutardigrada, Parachela, Macrobiotidae.
UGUAUACUCUGAAUAUUCUCAACAUUAUCACCCAAUGGCGAAAUGGCAACUCGAGACAUCUGCUCGAUCUAGUGGAGACGGUACUAUUUAUGUCCGUUUCCACAGUAUUUUUCGUUGGCGUGCAUGAGACGGCUUCGGAAGCAAUGACGCAAAUGGAGCGAGGUCUUCGCGCGAACGCUCAGUCCAAUGUCCAACAGAUCUUCAUGCAUUUGAACAGACUAACAUUAAGACCAGUUUCGUUUUCCGUUGGAGGAUUCUUCCCGAUAAAUCGGGCUUUUAUUGCGACGCUUUUUGGUGGUAUCGCGGCGUAUGCAAUCGUUAUCUGGGAGCUGGGCGACAAAGGCAUAUCCAAUAGCGAUAUUGAAAAAAUUUCCGAUCUAAUUACCGCUCGAUUCUUGCAUGGGCAUAAUAUCUCGAAUCUCACUUUACCAUAAUCCCCAAUAUAUUCCGAACAUUCUUCAGUGCCAGUUAUGCUUCGCUUGCUUUGCUAUUUGUUUUAUUCGUUUUCGCAUUUAACAGAAUGCAGUCUACUGUAG